Long non-coding RNA from Cyprinus carpio carpio, 526 nucleotides. The record is from Ensembl. NCBI's taxonomy places the organism in Eukaryota, Metazoa, Chordata, Actinopteri, Cypriniformes, Cyprinidae.
GAUCCAGAGUUAUGUUCAAUGCAAAACUCCUAGGUAAAGUACCAUAGUAGGAAAAACGCGCUGUUUCAUGGGCGAUCCCUCACCAUAGUAUGUCUAUGGGGCAACUUUGGGGGGCUCUUGCGCCCCAGGGGUACAACUUAUACCCCACUGCGGGGUAUGUUCUCGCACAGCCUGAUAGCCUCUCCAAAUGUGGUGAUUCACAUGUUUCUGCGAAAUUCUCUCUCGGAGCUACGAUCCGUCAAAGUUGGCCGCAAUGCAUUUUCUAUGGGUGUUUUUUUCGUCGAUUUUUCGCCCGAUGUACGAACAUCGUACGCCUGAUCGCUUAUAAAAGUCAUAGCACACCUCUCCUCAAUAGGCCGCACGAUUUGACGCCUGUUUCGUUGGUCUGUGACAAACGGUGCGGGACUAGUUACGCGCCGAAGUUUUGUACGGAAGAAGUAAGAAUAAUAAUAAUAACUAGAAUGUACAUUUCCUGAAGAAAAUGUGAGUGGUGCUUGCAGUGGCAAAACUCGGCCCUCUGUUGCUU